AGGACGAACGCUGGCGGCGUGCUUAACACAUGCAAGUCGAACGGAAAGGCCCGCUUGCGGGUACUCGAGUGGUGAACGGGUGAGUAACACGUGGGCAACCUGCCCUCAGCUCUGGGAUAACUCCGGGAAACCGGUGCUAAUACUGGAUAUCAACUUUGCCUCGCACGGGGUGUUGUUGAAAGUUUUUCGGCUGGGGAUGGGCCCGCGGCCUAUCAGCUUGUUGGUGGGGUGAUGGCCUACCAAGGCGACGACGGGUA
RNAcentral lists this ribosomal RNA (257 nucleotides) under uncultured bacterium. RNAcentral's name for it is "partial small subunit ribosomal RNA". It matches the Rfam family "Bacterial small subunit ribosomal RNA", at positions 26 to 285 of the family's 1533-position model. The record is from RNAcentral.